This 96-nucleotide microRNA precursor is filed under the name Nicotiana sylvestris (wood tobacco). Its description in RNAcentral is "MIR6152 microRNA precursor family". It matches the Rfam family "MIR6152 microRNA precursor family". The record is from Rfam by way of RNAcentral. RNAcentral also lists the same sequence under 1 other name. Lineage: Eukaryota; Viridiplantae; Streptophyta; Magnoliopsida; Solanales; Solanaceae.
UGGACAAAUUAUUGUAUUCGACUGUAUUCACGGCGUGAAACAGGGGAUUACGCUGUUUUUAAACGAAAAGUGAAUCAAUUAACAUAAUAGACUCCU